GACUCAGUAGCUCAGCUGGUAGAGCACAUCCCUUUUAAGGAUGGGGUCCUGGGUUCGAACCCCAGCUGAGUCACCA
This 76-nucleotide transfer RNA is filed under the name Sunxiuqinia elliptica. RNAcentral describes it as "tRNA-Lys". It matches the Rfam family "tRNA". From Rfam's summary of the family: Transfer RNA (tRNA) molecules are approximately 80 nucleotides in length. Lineage: Bacteria; Pseudomonadati; Bacteroidota; Bacteroidia; Marinilabiliales; Prolixibacteraceae. RNAcentral also lists the same sequence under 9 other names. The record is from RNAcentral.